GUGUCAGCCGCCGCGGUAAUACGUAGGCAGCGAGCGUUGUUCGGAAUUACUGGGCGUAAAGAGUGUGUAGGCGGUGUUCCAAGUCUGGUGUGAAAUCUCCCGGCUUAACUGGGAGGGUGCGCCGGAAACUGGAAUGCUCGAGGGUGGGAGAGGUAAGCGGAAUUCCUGGUGUAGCGGUGAAAUGCGUAGAUAUCAGGAGGAACACCUGUGGUGUAGACAGCUUACUGGACCACUUCUGACGCUGAGACACGAAAGCGUGGGUAGCAAACAGGAUUAGAUACCCCCGUAGUCC
Molecule: ribosomal RNA, 292 nt
Filed under: uncultured bacterium
Lineage: Bacteria
Description: partial 16S ribosomal RNA
Rfam family: Bacterial small subunit ribosomal RNA
Source: RNAcentral